UAACCUGCCUCUUAGCGGGGGAUAACUAUUGAAACGAUAGCUAAUACCGCAUAAAAGUCGAUAUCGCAUGAUGUUGAUUUGAAAGGUGCAAUUGCAUCACUAAGAGAUGGACCUGCGUUGUAUUAGCUAGUUGGUGAGGUAACGGCUCACCAAGGCGACGAUACAUAGCCGACCUGAGAGGGUGAUCGGCCACACUGGGACUGAGACACGGCCCAG
This 216-nucleotide ribosomal RNA is filed under the name uncultured bacterium. RNAcentral describes it as "partial 16S ribosomal RNA". It matches the Rfam family "Bacterial small subunit ribosomal RNA", at positions 122 to 334 of the family's 1533-position model. The record is from RNAcentral.